UGGGGAAUAUUGGACAAUGGGGGGAACCCUGAUCCAGCUAUGCCGCGUGAAUGAAGAAGGCCUUAGGGUUGUAAAGUUCUUUUAUAAGGGAAGAUGAUGACGGUACCUUAUGAAUAAGCACCGGCAAACUUCGUGCCAGCAGCCGCGGUAAUACGAAGGGUGCUAGCGUUGUUCGGAUUUACUGGGCGUAAAGCGCACGUAGGCGGUUAUAUAAGUCAGCGGUGAAAUCCCAGGGCUCAACCUUGGAACUGCCAUUGAUACUGUAUAACUUGAGUGUAUGAGAGGAUAAUGGAAUAUCCAGUGUAGAGGUGAAAUUCGUAGAUAUUGGAUAGAACACCAGUGGCGAAGGCGAUUAUCUGGCGUACAACUGACGCUAAUGUGCGAAAGCGUGGGUAGCAAA
This 400-nucleotide ribosomal RNA is filed under the name uncultured bacterium. RNAcentral describes it as "bacterial SSU rRNA". It matches the Rfam family "Bacterial small subunit ribosomal RNA", at positions 355 to 772 of the family's 1533-position model. The record is from RNAcentral.